RNAcentral lists this non-coding RNA (89 nucleotides) under Halomicronema hongdechloris. Its description in RNAcentral is "Glutamine-I sequence". It matches the Rfam family "Glutamine riboswitch aptamer (glnA leader)". RNAcentral also lists the same sequence under 1 other name. Lineage: Bacteria; Bacillati; Cyanobacteriota; Cyanophyceae; Nodosilineales; Nodosilineaceae. The record is from RNAcentral.
AUCGUUCAUCCUACCUAAGGUCGCAUGUCAAGGUCGCAUGUCGAUGCUAAGGGGGACGGAAGUAGGGACUACUCCCGAAGGAACGCGCC